GGACGGGAUCCAUCGGAGAGCUUGCUCGAAGAUGGUGAGAGUGGCGCACGGGUGCGUAACGCGUGAGCAACCUACCUCUAUCAGGGGGAUAGCCUCUCGAAAGAGAGAUUAACACCGCAUAACAUCAACAGUUCGCAUGUUCGGUUGAUUAAAUAUUUAUAGGAUAGAGAUGGGCUCGCGUGACAUUAGCUAGUUGGUAGGGUAACGGCUUACCAAGGCGACGAUGUCUAGGGGCUCUGAGAGGAGAAUCCCCCACACUGGUACUGAGACACGGACCAGACUCCUACGGGAGGCAGCAGUAAGGAAUAUUGGUCAAUGGGCGGAAGCCUGAACCAGCCAUGCCGCGUGCAGGAUGACUGCCCUAUGGGUUGUAAACUGCUUUUGUCCAGGAAUAAACCUCUUUACGAGUAGAGAGCUGAAUGUACUGGAAGAAUAAGGAUCGGCUAACUCCGUG
Molecule: ribosomal RNA, 454 nt
Filed under: uncultured bacterium
Lineage: Bacteria
Description: bacterial SSU rRNA
Rfam family: Bacterial small subunit ribosomal RNA
Source: RNAcentral